Long non-coding RNA from Oncorhynchus keta (chum salmon), 282 nucleotides. RefSeq lists it as uncharacterized. The record is from RefSeq and is a predicted model, not a curated record. The transcript has 4 exons. NCBI's taxonomy places the organism in Eukaryota, Metazoa, Chordata, Actinopteri, Salmoniformes, Salmonidae.
AGAACUGGAGGGGAACAAGAUAUCAUCUUUGUGGGUUUCCAGCUUUCAAAACUGCACCACUCUGACAGUAUUGGCUCUUCGAAAAAACAGAAUACAAACUAUUGAGGAGGGAAUAUUUUCUGGCAUGCCAAACCUGAUAGACUUGGACGUAUCUUUAAACAAAAUUGAGGAGUUCUCACCAACUAUAUUUACAAAUCUUCAAAACCUAAAACAGUUGAACAUCUCAAAUAACCCUCUGACUCAUAUCUAUGAUGAUCAGUUUGACAUGUUUGUCAAUUUGCA